CCUANGGGGGGCUGCAGUUUCGAAUCAUUCACAAUGGGCGAAAGCCUGAUGGUGCGACGCCGCGUGAGGGAUGAAGGCCUUCGGGUUGUAAACCUCUGUCACCGGGGAAGAAACGCUUCAAGUUAAUAGCUUGAAGCCUGACUUAACCCGGAGAGGAAGCAGUGGCUAACUCUGUGCCAGCAGCCGCGGUAAUACAGAGACUGCAAGCGUUAUUCGGAUUCACUGGGCGUAAAGGGUGCGCAGGCGGCCAAGUGUGUGAAGUGUGAAAGCCCGGGGCUUAACCCCGGAAUUGCACCUCAAACUACUUGGCUAGAGCAUUGGAGAGGGUAGCAGAAUUCACGGUGUAGCAGUGAAAUGCGUAGAUAUCGUGAGGAAUACCAGAGGCGAAGGCGGCUACCUGGACAAUUGCUGACGCUCAGGCACGAAAGCGUGGGGAGCAAAAGGGAUUAGAUACCCGGNUANUC
This 464-nucleotide ribosomal RNA is filed under the name uncultured bacterium. RNAcentral's name for it is "bacterial SSU rRNA". It matches the Rfam family "Bacterial small subunit ribosomal RNA", at positions 338 to 795 of the family's 1533-position model. The record is from RNAcentral.